AGAAAGAUGUGAGAGAACCGCUCUCAGUGGAUGACGGCCUACCUUCUAAUGAAAGUGGUAUCGUACUAUCUGUAGUGGUCACCCAUGGCUAAGUAAAGUCAUGACUGUAGAUAUCUAUUAGGGCCACUAUGACUAGUACGACUGUGAUCAUAGAUCGUACCAUGGUUUGGCCAAUCGAAAAUGGACUGAGUAAAUGUCGUAUCUGUAUCUAAUCUAGUCAUUCCACUUGGGUAGUUGGAAAUCUGUAUCAAUCCUCAGAGAUGGAAGUUCUAAUGACUUCGUGAAGCAUGAUAUGAAAAUCAGAG
Molecule: long non-coding RNA, 305 nt
Filed under: Carica papaya (papaya)
Lineage: Eukaryota; Viridiplantae; Streptophyta; Magnoliopsida; Brassicales; Caricaceae
Description: long non-coding RNA (CPAP_LNC010779)
Source: RNAcentral